RNAcentral lists this long non-coding RNA (214 nucleotides) under Elaeis guineensis (African oil palm). RNAcentral's name for it is "long non-coding RNA (EGUI_LNC049527)". The record is from RNAcentral. Lineage: Eukaryota; Viridiplantae; Streptophyta; Magnoliopsida; Arecales; Arecaceae.
CCUUAGGGUUCAGUGCUUCUUUGAACCCUUAAAACCUGACUUCUUCAUAGAGAUUUUACCCACAAGAAGAAGUGAAAUCUUUUCUUUCUUUAUGUAGCUCUCAGCUGUCUUCAGCAUAUUCAACAGCUCAUGCAAAGAGGUAUUCAGUUUGUUUAUGUGAUAAUUCAUGACAAACUGAGUGAACGACUUGAGAAAAGAUUGCAGGAUCAAAUCC